RNAcentral lists this ribosomal RNA (393 nucleotides) under uncultured bacterium. RNAcentral describes it as "bacterial SSU rRNA". It matches the Rfam family "Bacterial small subunit ribosomal RNA", at positions 37 to 431 of the family's 1533-position model. The record is from RNAcentral.
UGGCGGCAGGCUUAACACAUGCAAGUCGAGCGGAAACGAUCCUAGCUUGCUAUGAGGCGUCGAGCGGCGGACGGGUGAGUAACGCGUGAGAAUCUACCCAUGAGUGGGGGACAACCCGGGGAAACUCGGGCUAAUACCGCAUACGCCCUACGGGGUAAAGCAGGGGACCUUCGGGCCUUGCGCUGAUGGAUGAGCUCGCGCGGAUUAGCUUGUUGGUGAGGUAAAGGCUCACCAAGGCGACGAUCCGUAGCUUGGUCUGAGAGGAUGAUCAGCCACACCGGGACUGAGACACGGCCCGGACUCCUACGGGAGGCAGCAGUGGGGAAUCUUGGACAAUGGGGGCAACCCUGAUCCAGCCAUGCCGCGUGUGUGAAGAAGGCCUUCGGGUAAGCC